Cavia porcellus (domestic guinea pig) is the source of this 70-nucleotide transfer RNA. It matches the Rfam family "tRNA". From Rfam's summary of the family: Transfer RNA (tRNA) molecules are approximately 80 nucleotides in length. The record is from Rfam. NCBI's taxonomy places the organism in Eukaryota, Metazoa, Chordata, Mammalia, Rodentia, Caviidae.
GGGGAUUUAGCUUAGUGGCAUAAGCGCCUGCCUUGUAAGCAGGCAAUCGCCAGUUCGAUCCCUGGUACCA